RNAcentral lists this unclassified non-coding RNA (371 nucleotides) under soil metagenome. RNAcentral's name for it is "partial contains 5.8S ribosomal RNA, internal transcribed spacer 2, and large subunit ribosomal RNA". The stretch from base 1 to 120 matches the Rfam family "5.8S ribosomal RNA", at positions 35 to 154 of the family's 154-position model. The record is from RNAcentral.
GAUGAAGAACGUAGCGAAAUGCGAUAAGUAAUGUGAAUUGCAGAAUUCAGUGAAUCAUCGAAUCUUUGAACGCACAUUGCGCCCCCCGGCAUUCCGGGGAGCAUGCCUGUUCGAGCGUCUCUUGGAAUACCCCUCACGCCGGCGGAGGCGUGGUCAUGGCGGCGGUGGCGUGCCCCGAGAGGGAGGCCACCGCGCUAGAAUCCAUGGGCGGACGCCUGCCGCGUGGCCGAGCGUGAUAAGACGCACUGGCGCUCGCGCGCGGCGAGGCUGCCGGCCCUGGCCCGCUCGUCGGGCGGGGACAGCAACACUUGGGAACUCCUCGAAUCAGGUAGGGAUACCCGCUGAACUUAAGCAUAUCAAUAAGCGGAGGA